CCUGCAACAUACACCAUGUGAUACACACCCAUGACAAAUUUAAGUAUUUCAUUAGUUAGAACUACAUCCAGAGCUAAAAUAAUAAUUACUAGUUCAGUUUACUGUACUUGACAAGUUUUAUUAUGCUUGCGUAUGGGAUUAACUAGAGUUUGUCAAUGAUGAAUUUCAGGUAUGUAGGGUUUGCUCUAGAAGUGGUUACAGUGAAUGAGUAAUGGCUAUCUUAUAUAUAAUUCUUCUGCUCUAAAAUUUUAUAUUCUAUUAUUACAAAAUAUUGCUCUGGCUGUAUAUACGUAGUACAUAUGUAUUCUGUAUUCAAAAUAACACUAAUUGCAUCUUUUGUGGUUAUUGUUUUUGUUUUUAAAAUAAGCAAAAUCAGUAAUGAACUUUUAGUCUCAUUCAUGCAUUAUGACCUUUGAUUCAUUCUGGUUUUUGCGUUGAAAAUAAUCAAGUACAGUACCCUGUUGAUUGUUAUUUUUAUGAGAAAUAGGGAGAAAUGCUUUACUUAAACUGUAUAAACAUUUCUUGGUCAGUGUUUUUGUCUCACUUUUAUUUCCUGCUCACUAUUUAUUGUAAAGUCACAUCUUAGUGAUAAUGAAAUUGUUAGGUUCUUAUGUUUUACUUAAAGCUUGAACUACCUACAGUACAGUUGUAGCUUAUUCUUUUUAUGUACGUAUGCAUUUUUCUGUUUGUGUGCUAAUCUUAUGGGUUAGUACUGACAUAUUGAUCAUGUUUACAGCAUUUGAAUCACUUGAAGUAAAUAUAUUAAAGAAAAUAUUAAUUGUGUGUCUUAGGGAGCACUUGAAAAUAGGGAGACAUCGUUGUCCCAUUACAAUCCAAAUUUCUGAAGCUAUAAAAAUUAGGCCUUGGAUUAUAUCAUGCUUAAUGUUGCGCUCCCAAAUAUCCAGGUGGAAGAACACCACAAUAUUACAUGUUUUAAUUUAUAACUACUGUUUUAUAGAAAAAAGUCUAGCAUAUUUUAUCAUACACUACCUCAAAAAAUAAAUAUAUCGCUAUAACUUCAACUUCAUGCACUGCCAGUAAAAUGACAAUUUUGUUUCUGUAAGAUUAUUCAUAGCAUAUAGAGAAAAAUGUUUCUGUCAUAUAUGUGUGUCUUGUUCACCUUCUAAUGUUAUGAUAUAUAGAUCUAAAUAAUAUCUUGGUAUAUAUUGUACAGUAAUAUGAAAAGGUAAUUACCUGAGUAGCUUCAAGUGUUAAAUUGAUAUUCACUUAUAAUGUAGAUUUGUUAUAUUAGAAAUUUCCAUAAGCUGGUCUGUUGAUUAUCCCAAAGGGUUACCUUUGAAAUAUUUCUUUCUGUAAGUUUUAACUAAGCCAGGAGUGCUUGCUCUCAGAUCUUGGUUGUAUUAAAAUAUAGAUAAAAUUACUGCAGUACUAUAUACAAUACCUUUAAAUUGAGAGCUAUAUUGCUGCUUAUGAAACUAACGUGGCUUUAGAAAUAGUACAUACUUAUUUAACUUGUUUGAAAAUCCAUAAGUUGAAUAAACAAAAAAUAGUCAGCAGUCAGGACUUGAAACCUAAAUACAUAAGAUAAAAUGUUAUUAUUCAUACUUUUGAAUUGGUUUUAUUAAUAGUUUUUGCACUUUUUCUCUCAUAUUUCAUUUCCUUAAAUUGAUAUUUAGUUGAUCUUUAACCAUUCAGGGCACAGUCACUCAUUUCCUCAAGAAGUUUCCCCUAAAGUACAGAGAUAUUAUGUAUGUAUUCCUGAUAUAUCUUCUAUUUACAGGUGUAAUACAGCCGAGUAAUGCUGCAUAAAAUGAUGUCUUGGUAAAAUAGCCCGAGCAAUUUACAGUGGACAUGUUUCAAUCUCAAAAUCUGUUCAUAAUUGUUGGGUGCACAUGAAGGACUGUUCUCAGGAGAGGUGAAAAUUAUAACAGGUGACAUUAGAGAUGUUGAACAACUAAGCAGAAAGAACCCAGUGGGAAUGGAUGAAAUGUACAAGGUUAAAACAAACUGCUUGGGCUGAAUAGGACUAAACGUAUAUGCUGUACGGACACCUUUUCCCUAGUUUGAUUUGUUGGGUUACAUACAGCAUUUUGGUACAUUUUUUGUUCAUUAAAUAGUACUACUGAAAGCAGUUGCCACUUUUCAAAGUGACUUACAAUGAAUGAAAACACUUUAGGGAAAGCGUGAGUAAAGUAAUUGUAGUCUUACAAUACAUAGAAGGAUAGCCCCGGUUUAUUAUUGACUUCAUAUUUCAAGAACAUAUUAAUUAUAUGUAGAUGCAACCCUAUGGUCUGUUUGGCUCCAAAAGUUUCCAUUUCUAUUGAUAACAAUUUUAAUUGGUCAAAAAUCCUUUGUAUGGCCUAGUGUUUUGAAUGAAAUAUAAUAUAAAGCUUUGCAAUUAUGAAUAAAUUAGAGAAAGACAUCAAUCAUCUACUUUUGGGAAAAUAUGCUAUGUAUUUUCAGAAUUGUAUCCUUUACAGUGUAUCCAUGUUAGGUGAUUAGUUAAUUACCUUUCUGUAUAUUUGCUAUUUUUCUAUUUAAUAGUGCCACCUACUUAUGUCUUAAUAAAGUAUACAUUGAACUAUUGUGCACAACAUUUUACAGCAUUAACAAAAAAAUUCAGAUUCAUUUGUUGAUAAAUCUGUAUCUGUGAAGUACAUUGCAGACAUAAUACAUUAUUACAUCAUUAAAUAAACUACAUACAUUUACCAUGAAUUGCAAAAUACACACUUAUGCAAGAAUGUUUUGGAUAUACAGUACCAUGUAAUGUACCUAAUGAUAUUAUAACCUGUAAUAGAUGACCAAGAACGCAUGUUUUGCUUGUUCUGAUUUUAUUUAUUCUUAUCAGCGAAGUUUUUGCCUUGAAUGCACUGUAAAUUUCAUGAUUGUAUAUUUUAUUUUUGUCUUUCAUUCAGGCUUAGUUCAUAUGACAAAACUGCAUAAGUAAAAAGGCAGUCCAAAACAUGUUUGUCAUGAGAGGAAGACAAAGUGUGGGAGCUAUGAAGGCAGUACAAGAAGAGAAAAACUAACAGCCAUUCAAGUGAAAGAUAUUUAAUCCAUCUCAGUAAAGGCUAUUUGGCUUGAGACUGAAAAGAUUGCAAGACCAAGACCUUGUGCUGGUAAGUAAUAUCCAAAGGAGUUGUGAUUAUGAUAGUUGUUAAUAAAGAAAUAGGAGCAAUAGAGAAAAUUUGUAGAAAUAGCUAAAAUUCGGUUCUUUAUAAUAUUCAGCAAUUGUUGUAAUGUGUAUGAAAUCGAUAACACAAGUGCAUAUUUAAUAAGAGCAAAAAGGAAAAUUGGUGAUAUUAUGCUGGCGUAUGUUGUGCUCCACACAAGACUGGAAGGCAGAUAAAAUUCUAACAAAUUAGACUAGGCAGAUACAUCCUUCUUAUACAAAUAGAGUUAACUUUUGAAUACACUGUCAUAAUAAGUUAGACUAGUUAUGUUUUUGUAGGUGGAAUAUUCGUGAAAAUGCUGAAAUAUAGUAAGGCAUAUCUAUAUCUGACUUUCAUAUUUUGUCAAGAGUUAAAUGUGAUUGUUUGUUAGGUCGUCCCUUAAUGAGUGAUAUUGAAAUGCCUGAACUCCUGUCUUCUUUGGGUCUUGUUCUUUGCCCUUUUCUCUGUGAGUUUUGCACUGCAACAUUCUGCUUUUCCUACAUGAGAGGUUAAUGUAUUUUUCAGCAUACUAUAUAACUUUUCAUAUUGAAUGUGAUUUUCCCAGCACUCACCAACUAUGAUUCUUGUCAUUUUGUGGAUUCUUAUAUACCUUGAAGGUUUGCAUCUAUGGCAUAACUCAGUCUUCCCUAAUCUCUUAAUACAUAUAUGCUAGCAUUAAAAAAUAUAUAUGCAAUUUAAACUUCAGUUUUUAGCAUUCUUAUUCCUCAUUUACAGCGAAACUUUUAUAAUUUGCUACUUGCCAGUCACCUUAGUCUUGGUUUUGUUUAUUUGUUUUGUUUCUUCACUUUUCCAUAUGUUAAAUAUGUAUCUUUUAAAGUGCCUUCCAAGUAGGAGUGUUAUUUUAAUGCCAGUAGCAUCCAUAGGCCUUCCCUUUGUUACUUUAGUAACAGUAUAUGGCUGUGUUAGUCAUUAAUAGUAUGAUGAAAUCAUUUUUAUUUUGCUUUCAUUAUGUCCUGGUGCUUUCUAGUCUGGGUACUGUUGAAUGCCCUCUGAUGACUCACAAACAUAUAACAUCUUCCUAUAAAGUUUAUCCCUGUAGUUUAUUGCUUCUACAGGAGACCUAUCUGACAGUUGUUAGUUGAAGAUUUUUAUUCAUAACUUUCCCUUCUCUCUAAUCAGUGUAUGAAAGUACAGCGACGGGAAAAGUUAAGAAAAACUUGAAAUUGGCAACUGGCAUUUUGGGUUCCUUUCACAGAAUAUUUGGCGGAGUAGUGGCAGCACAUCACCUUUUCCUUUCCACGAAAUUGCUGUAAUAAUGUACGUACUAUAUUUUUCCCAUUUUCUUGGUCCAUUUUUUUUUUACUUUGAUUUCUUCAUCAUAGGACUUUCCCAUCAUCAUCAGAUUAUCCUCUAAUGGGAUAAGAUGAGAAAAAUGUUCUCGCCACUUUUUGAAUUACUGUAAUUUUAUAACUAAUGCUUGUCAGACCUUAUUACUUGUCUGGGUAAUGUCAGUCUUUGAGAUGUUUUCCUGUUUUUCAACCACUGGACACCAAAUGUGCACCACAACCACAUGUAUAUGCUCUAAGCCACUGCACUCCAGCCAUACAUCUGGUCAUUUAAUAAUAAAACCUCUUCAAAAAUAUUCUCCAUUUACUUUUCAUGUUCCUGUGUUUGUGCUUCAUAGAAUGAUACAGGCCUUUGAAACACAUACUACAUUUGUUUGCUGUUUACUAAUGGGAUACUUGUAUACUUUUACUAUAGUCUUUCCACUUCAUCCAAACUGUUGUUACUCUCUUAUUGCCUUCAUAGUACCUCAUGAUAUCUUCAGAGGUCUCAUUUUCAUUUGUUUUCAGUUCCUUGUUAACAUUAUCUAGUUUUAGUUCACAUUCAUUCUCUUCGUUUAGCAGAUUCUCAAAAUACUUUUCAGUUUUUCCAUCUUGCCAUUCCAAAUAUUUUCUUUAUUUCCUUCCUUAGUGUCUUCUUUAUUUUUUGACCUGCAUCUUGAACCCCUUUCUCUCAUUCUUUCCAUAAUUGGGGUUUUGUUCGUAUGGAGUUUCUACAUUGCACGGAACCACUGGUUAUUCAGCAACGGGACCAGUGGCUUUACGUGACUUCCGAACCACGUCGAGAGUGAACUUCUAUGACCAGAAAUGCACAUCUCUCACUCCUCAGUGGAAUGGCCGAGAAUUGAACCCGUGACCACCGAGGUGGGAUGCUAAUACCAUACCAACCACGCCGCUGAGGCAGUUUCUUUUACGACCAGGAAAGACACUAAAAUUGUUUUUACCUUUCCUACAGUGUAUUUAUAGAUUAGCCUUAGUUAUGAUGUGAUAUUGUAUUAAUCUAGUUACUUUACACCCCAUAACAGAAAUGAUAAAUCAGUGUUAAGAAAAUUAAGAAUAACAUUAUACAUUGAUAUACAAAUGUCAAAGCCAACAAAAUUCAUAUCUUUGACAAAGAAUUAUAUGCUUAGAUGUUAAACUACACCAUUGUAACAGGGGUACUUCAGUCAUUUUAGGAUUAUUACAUCAAGUAAUGUCUAGGGUAGUUGUACAUCAGGUAAUAUCCACUACCUACAGAUUAUCUAUUAAGUAUUUUGUUUAUUGCUGGUUAAAAUUGAUUACUACUAGGUUUCUCAGUCAGUGUGACAUCAGAAAAUGUAUGUGUAAAUAGGUAAAAAUAGAGAGCACUUAUCAAAAAAGCUGUCUAAGACUAUGACUGUAUUUGAGAAUUUAAUUAAGAUUAUGGUAGAAAACUUUUAUCUUUCAUGAAGUUUACUUUAAAUCACUAGCUGUACAGUGGAUUUUUAAAUACAUAUAUGUACGUACAUAAUACCAACUAGUGCACACACUGGUACUGGUGCAUGUAAACACACACACACAUGCACUUAGAGAAAUGAAAUUUCAGUUGGAAGCUUACAUUUUUCAUUCUGCUUUGUCACUAGUAAAAACAUUUUUGAGAGACAGGGAAAUACAUUGUCUAAGGAGAAAAACAGCACCAAUAUAUAAAGUUCUCAGAUAUUGUAAAAAGCACUUAUAAAAUUGGAAUUUAAUACAUCUAUUAUGAACAUUCAUUUAUUUAAUUUUAGUUUUAUUACCAGUUAGUGGUUUGAUAUCAUCAGUGUCCACCCGCAUUUGAGGAGGAUUUUUGUAGCAAAUGAUGCUCUAAGUGCAUUUGGUUUGUGUUGAACUAUUUAUUUAAAUUGAGAGGAUUUGGUUAAAUUUUACUUUUUGCUGCAUUCCCCCCUCCCUGUAUAUUAACAAAUUUGAAUUGAGACAAAAUUAAUGUAAUUAGUUUGAUAUGAUUACCCUUUAAUAAGAUUAAAUGCCAGAGAGCAAAAUUACAGGUGCUUUUGAGCAUAUAAUUUUGCAGAUUAUACAUUCACACUUUAAUAGAUACAUUGCUUGCUUAAAUUACAAAAAUAUAAUAAUUUUAAUAUUCUACUGUACAUUUUUUAUUAUUUAUUUUUUAGACUACACAUUACUCUAUUGCUGAGUGACAAGUGCUUCUUCAGGUGUUGCAUGACUUUUAUUUUGUCCAUGAAAUUGUCCCCUAUUUUUAGGUCAGUCAUAUAUAUAAAAGGCAUUGCAAUUAUAAUUCAGUUUUGGUGUUAACGUUAGUUAUAGUUUUGAGGGCUAAUAAGCAUAAUUAAUCAGUCCUAGGCUAAAUUGGAAUGAUAAUUAAGUUCUAGUGAAGAAGUCUUCAUUUUAUCAUCAAAUACAAGUAGCCAAGAAUACUAUGAGGGAGGUCUCCAUGAAAAAUUCUAUAAGGAAAUUAAAACUGUUAGAUAUGGUGUUAGGAAAGGGCACUAUGGAUGCUGUGUGAUAUAGUACAAGAAUUACAAGCAAACUUGAGGUUAUUGCAGGGCGAUACUAAACUACAAAAAUAUUUGUUGCAUAUAGUCAAUGUAGAGGGGAGCAUGUCAUAAAGAAAUGGGAAAGUUUAGCAGUUAAAUACCAAUAAGUUUCCAAUUAAUAUAGGGGCAUGGAAGGGAAAGCUGUUGGAAUGUGAUUGGGUGAAAUGGAGGGAAUGAAAGGUAUUCAGAUUAUGUAGUUUUUUAGCCAGAUGGUACAUAAGAGGCUAACAGCAAAAAAAAAGAAGUUUAAACCAGGGACAUAGGGCCAACCUUUACUUCCAGUGCUAAACUUUGGGCUUUAAGGAGAUAUUAUCUGACAGUAUAAACAAGGAUGUUAAUGCCCAUAUUAGACAUGGUGCUAAGAAAAAGAGAGAAUAUGAGAGUAACUCAUAUUAGAAAUGUUAAGGUGUGGAGGAGGAACAUUAAAAGGAAAUCACAGUGGAUUUAAACUUUAUCAGUGACUGAAGUAAAGGUUAACCCAUAAUUAAUAGCGAUGAUGGAAAGGGUAUACACAAUUUUUUGUAUUAAAUGAAGUAGAUUACAUUUCCAGAAAAAAAUCUUUCUUAAAAGUAAAUUCUGCACUCUAAUUAAUCUAGAGGGUUAAAUACAUAUUGUUUCUGUGAAUGUUUAUUCUUGGUUUCUUUUAAGAGUUUUUAUGUCAUUUGGUUAUAAGAUAUUGUGGCUCUUAUUGUCUUUAAGAACAAACUGAGCAACAAGAAUUUCCUUAUAAUUCAGCAUCACGCAUUUUUUCUUGUCCAGGGAGCUUCAAGGGACACUAGCCAGAGGCAGAAUUAAAAAGUAAGUCCAAUUAGUUCAAUUUUUACAUAACCCAGUUUUAAGUGGUAAAUUUUCAAUAUCUUUAACUGCCUGAAAUGGUUUUAAUUGUUGAUUAGAUCUAAAAGUGUUGUAUGAAGUAGAAGUAGUGUGUAGCAGUGACAUGUAUAUAAAAUGUACUGAAAUAUUGUUAGUAAAAGAGAAAAUUAUUGCUGCAUCUCAAUGAAAGCCUUAUUUUUUAUCCAUUUAAACAAUGUUUUUGUUCUUAUUUAUAACUUAUGAAUAUAGUACUAAUAUAUUAGAAUACAAUUAUAUUGAA
Molecule: long non-coding RNA, 8023 nt
Organism: Macrobrachium nipponense
Lineage: Eukaryota; Metazoa; Arthropoda; Malacostraca; Decapoda; Palaemonidae
Exons: 3
Source: RefSeq, a predicted model, not a curated record